AGUAGUUAAACUCUACUAUNAAGGG
Molecule: transfer RNA, 25 nt
Filed under: Diadema antillarum
Lineage: Eukaryota; Metazoa; Echinodermata; Echinoidea; Diadematoida; Diadematidae
Description: partial tRNA-Lys
Source: RNAcentral